This 500-nucleotide ribosomal RNA is filed under the name uncultured bacterium. RNAcentral describes it as "partial 16S ribosomal RNA". It matches the Rfam family "Bacterial small subunit ribosomal RNA", at positions 30 to 523 of the family's 1533-position model. The record is from RNAcentral.
AUUGAACGCUGGCGGCAUGCCUUACACAUGCAAGUCGAACGGCAGCACGGGAGCAAUCCUGGUGGCGAGUGGCGAACGGGUGAGUAAAGUAUCGGAACGUGCCCAGUCGUGGGGGAUAACGUAGCGAAAGUUACGCUAAUACCGCAUACGAUCUAUGGAUGAAAGCGGGGGAUCGCAAGACCUCGCGCGAUUGGAGCGGCCGAUAUCAGAUUAGGUAGUUGGUGGGGUAAAGGCUCACCAAGCCGAAGAUCUGUAGCUGGUCGGAGAGGACAACCAGCCAGACUGGGACUGAGACACGGCACAGAAUCCUACGGGAGGCAGCAGUGGGGAAUUUUGGACAAUGGGCGAAAGCCUGAUCCAGCCAUGCCGCGUGCAGGAUGAAGGCCUUCGGGUUGUAAACUGCUUUUGUACGGAACGAAAAGGUUUGGCCUAAUAAGCUGAGCUCAUGACGGUACCGUAAGAAUAAGCACCGGCUAACUACGUGCCAGCCGCCGCAGUAA